RNAcentral lists this ribosomal RNA (253 nucleotides) under uncultured bacterium. RNAcentral's name for it is "partial 16S ribosomal RNA". It matches the Rfam family "Bacterial small subunit ribosomal RNA", at positions 524 to 776 of the family's 1533-position model. The record is from RNAcentral.
UACGAAGGGGGCUAGCGUUGCUCGGAAUCACUGGGCGUAAAGCGCACGUAGGCAGCUUCUUAAGUCAGGGGUGAAAUCCUGGAGCUCAACUCCAGAACUGCCUUUGAUACUGAGGAGCUUGAGUCCGGGAGAGGUGAGUGGAACUGCGAGUGUAGAGGUGAAAUUCGUAGAUAUUCGCAAGAACACCAGUGGCGAAGGCGGCUCACUGGCCCGGUACUGACGCUGAGGUGCGAAAGCGUGGGGAGCAAACAGG